UACUUUUACUUUGUACUUCAAAUAUUUUUGAGGGAUACUUUGUACUUUUUACUUAAGUUCGUUUUGCUUCCAGUACUUUUUACUCUUACUCAAGUUGUUUUAUUGUCAAUUACUUCUACUUUUACUCGAGUACGAAUUCAAAGUAAUUUAGGCACCACUGACAAUCCCCCUCAACAACGUGGAGUUUUACCAUCUUUUUCAUGUACUGUAUUAGUGUAAAUAAUUAUAUGGUUGCAUUAAUCAAUUACCACAAUAUAAGCUACUUACUGUAUGUCAUCUAAAAUUACCAAAUAUCAUUG
Paramuricea clavata is the source of this 299-nucleotide non-coding RNA. The record is from the annotation of a GenBank genome assembly. NCBI's taxonomy places the organism in Eukaryota, Metazoa, Cnidaria, Anthozoa, Malacalcyonacea, Plexauridae.